RNAcentral lists this ribosomal RNA (290 nucleotides) under Acinetobacter baumannii. RNAcentral describes it as "partial 16S ribosomal RNA". It matches the Rfam family "Bacterial small subunit ribosomal RNA", at positions 398 to 680 of the family's 1533-position model. The record is from RNAcentral. Lineage: Bacteria; Pseudomonadati; Pseudomonadota; Gammaproteobacteria; Moraxellales; Moraxellaceae.
CGCGUGUGUGAAGAAGGCCUUCGGGUUGUAAAGCACUUUCAGCGGGGAGGAAGGCGUUAAGGUUAAUAACCUUGGCGAUUGACGUUACCCGCAGAAGAAGCACCGGCUAACUCCGUGCCAGCAGCCGCGGUAAUACGGAGGGUGCAAGCGUUAAUCGGAAUUACUGGGCGUAAAGCGCACGCAGGCGGUCUGUCAAGUCGGAUGUGAAAUCCCCGGGCUCAACCUGGGAACUGCAUUCGAAACUGGCAGGCUAGAGUCUUGUAGAGGGGGGUAGAAUUCCAGGUGUAGCG